This 561-nucleotide ribosomal RNA is filed under the name uncultured bacterium. RNAcentral's name for it is "bacterial SSU rRNA". It matches the Rfam family "Bacterial small subunit ribosomal RNA", at positions 338 to 916 of the family's 1533-position model. The record is from RNAcentral.
CCUACGGGAGGCAGCAGUGGGGAAUCUUGCGCAAUGGGCGAAAGCCUGACGCAGCAACGCCGCGUGCGGGAAGAAGGCUUUCGGGCUGUAAACCGCUUUCAGCAGGAACGAAAAUGACGGUACCUGCAGAAGAAGGAGCGGCCAACUAUGUGCCAGCAGCCGCGGUGAUACAUAGGCUUCAAGCGUUGUCCGGAUUUAUUGGGCGUAAAGAGUUCGUAGGCGGUCGAGUAAGUCGGGUGUGAAAAUUCUGGGCUCAACCCAGAGACGCCACCCGAUACUGCUUGACUUGAGUUCGAUAGGGGAGUGGGGAAUUCCUAGUGUAGCGGUGAAAUGCGCAGAUAUUAGGAAGAACACCGGUGGCGAAGGCGCCACUCUGGAUCGAUACUGACGCUGAGGAACGAAAGCAUGGGUAGCAAACAGGAUUAGAUACCCUGGUAGUCCAUGCCGUAAACGGUGGGCACUAGGUGUGGGUUUCUAUUAACGAAAUCCGCGCCGUCGCUAACGCAUUAAGUGCCCCGCCUGGGGAGUACGGUCGCAAGCUAAAACUUAAGGAAUUGACGG